RNAcentral lists this ribosomal RNA (253 nucleotides) under uncultured bacterium. Its description in RNAcentral is "partial 16S ribosomal RNA". It matches the Rfam family "Bacterial small subunit ribosomal RNA", at positions 524 to 776 of the family's 1533-position model. The record is from RNAcentral.
UACAGAGGAUGCAAGCGUUAUCCGGAAUGAUUGGGCGUAAAGCGUCUGUAGGUGGCUUUUUAAGUCCGCCGUCAAAUCCCAGGGCUCAACUCUGGACAGGCGGUGGAAACUACCAAGCUGGAGUACGGUAGGGGCAGAGGGAAUUUCCGGUGGAGCGGUGAAAUGCGUAGAUAUAGGAAGGAACACCAGUGGCGAAGGCGACCACCUGGACUGAUACUGACACUGAGGUGCGAAAGCGUGGGGAGCAAACAGG